CCCUUAGAUGUCCGGGGCCGCACGCGCGCUACACUGAAGGAAUCAGCGUGGCUUUCUCCCUGACCCGAAAGGGUUGGGAAACCCGUUGAAUCUCCUUCGUGAUAGGGAUUGGGGCUUGAAAUUGUUCCCCAUGAACGAGGAAUUCCCAGUAAGCGCGAGUCAUCAGCUCGUGCUGAUUACGUCCCUGCCCUUUGUACACACCGCCCGUCGCUCCUACCGAUUGAGUGCUCAGGUGAAUAAUUCGGACUGCAGCAAUGUUCGGAUCCCGAACGUUGCAGCGGAAAGUUUAGUGAACCUUAUCACUUAGAGGAAGGAGAAGUCGUAACA
Molecule: ribosomal RNA, 327 nt
Filed under: uncultured eukaryote
Lineage: Eukaryota
Description: partial 18S ribosomal RNA
Rfam family: Eukaryotic small subunit ribosomal RNA
Source: RNAcentral